RNAcentral lists this ribosomal RNA (2927 nucleotides) under Staphylococcus aureus. Its description in RNAcentral is "23S ribosomal RNA". It matches the Rfam family "Bacterial large subunit ribosomal RNA". The record is from RNAcentral. Lineage: Bacteria; Bacillati; Bacillota; Bacilli; Caryophanales; Staphylococcaceae.
AGAUUAAGUUAUUAAGGGCGCACGGUGGAUGCCUUGGCACUAGAAGCCGAUGAAGGACGUUACUAACGACGAUAUGCUUUGGGGAGCUGUAAGUAAGCUUUGAUCCAGAGAUUUCCGAAUGGGGAAACCCAGCAUGAGUUAUGUCAUGUUAUCGAUAUGUGAAUACAUAGCAUAUCAGAAGGCACACCCGGAGAACUGAAACAUCUUAGUACCCGGAGGAAGAGAAAGAAAAUUCGAUUCCCUUAGUAGCGGCGAGCGAAACGGGAAGAGCCCAAACCAACAAGCUUGCUUGUUGGGGUUGUAGGACACUCUAUACGGAGUUACAAAGGACGACAUUAGACGAAUCAUCUGGAAAGAUGAAUCAAAGAAGGUAAUAAUCCUGUAGUCGAAAAUGUUGUCUCUCUUGAGUGGAUCCUGAGUACGACGGAGCACGUGAAAUUCCGUCGGAAUCUGGGAGGACCAUCUCCUAAGGCUAAAUACUCUCUAGUGACCGAUAGUGAACCAGUACCGUGAGGGAAAGGUGAAAAGCACCCCGGAAGGGGAGUGAAAUAGAACCUGAAACCGUGUGCUUACAAGUAGUCAGAGCCCGUUAAUGGGUGAUGGCGUGCCUUUUGUAGAAUGAACCGGCGAGUUACGAUUUGAUGCAAGGUUAAGCAGUAAAUGUGGAGCCGUAGCGAAAGCGAGUCUGAAUAGGGCGUUUAGUAUUUGGUCGUAGACCCGAAACCAGGUGAUCUACCCUUGGUCAGGUUGAAGUUCAGGUAACACUGAAUGGAGGACCGAACCGACUUACGUUGAAAAGUGAGCGGAUGAACUGAGGGUAGCGGAGAAAUUCCAAUCGAACCUGGAGAUAGCUGGUUCUCUCCGAAAUAGCUUUAGGGCUAGCCUCAAGUGAUGAUUAUUGGAGGUAGAGCACUGUUUGGACGAGGGGCCCCUCUCGGGUUACCGAAUUCAGACAAACUCCGAAUGCCAAUUAAUUUAACUUGGGAGUCAGAACAUGGGUGAUAAGGUCCGUGUUCGAAAGGGAAACAGCCCAGACCACCAGCUAAGGUCCCAAAAUAUAUGUUAAGUGGAAAAGGAUGUGGCGUUGCCCAGACAACUAGGAUGUUGGCUUAGAAGCAGCCAUCAUUUAAAGAGUGCGUAAUAGCUCACUAGUCGAGUGACACUGCGCCGAAAAUGUACCGGGGCUAAACAUAUUACCGAAGCUGUGGAUUGUCCUUUGGACAAUGGUAGGAGAGCGUUCUAAGGGCGUUGAAGCAUGAUCGUAAGGACAUGUGGAGCGCUUAGAAGUGAGAAUGCCGGUGUGAGUAGCGAAAGACGGGUGAGAAUCCCGUCCACCGAUUGACUAAGGUUUCCAGAGGAAGGCUCGUCCGCUCUGGGUUAGUCGGGUCCUAAGCUGAGGCCGACAGGCGUAGGCGAUGGAUAACAGGUUGAUAUUCCUGUACCACCUAUAAUCGUUUUAAUCGAUGGGGGGACGCAGUAGGAUAGGCGAAGCGUGCGAUUGGAUUGCACGUCUAAGCAGUAAGGCUGAGUAUUAGGCAAAUCCGGUACUCGUUAAGGCUGAGCUGUGAUGGGGAGAAGACAUUGUGUCUUCGAGUCGUUGAUUUCACACUGCCGAGAAAAGCCUCUAGAUAGAAAAUAGGUGCCCGUACCGCAAACCGACACAGGUAGUCAAGAUGAGAAUUCUAAGGUGAGCGAGCGAACUCUCGUUAAGGAACUCGGCAAAAUGACCCCGUAACUUCGGGAGAAGGGGUGCUCUUUAGGGUUAACGCCCAGAAGAGCCGCAGUGAAUAGGCCCAAGCGACUGUUUAUCAAAAACACAGGUCUCUGCUAAACCGUAAGGUGAUGUAUAGGGGCUGACGCCUGCCCGGUGCUGGAAGGUUAAGAGGAGUGGUUAGCUUCUGCGAAGCUACGAAUCGAAGCCCCAGUAAACGGCGGCCGUAACUAUAACGGUCCUAAGGUAGCGAAAUUCCUUGUCGGGUAAGUUCCGACCCGCACGAAAGGCGUAACGAUUUGGGCACUGUCUCAACGAGAGACUCGGUGAAAUCAUAGUACCUGUGAAGAUGCAGGUUACCCGCGACAGGACGGAAAGACCCCGUGGAGCUUUACUGUAGCCUGAUAUUGAAAUUCGGCACAGCUUGUACAGGAUAGGUAGGAGCCUUUGAAACGUGAGCGCUAGCUUACGUGGAGGCGCUGGUGGGAUACUACCCUAGCUGUGUUGGCUUUCUAACCCGCACCACUUAUCGUGGUGGGAGACAGUGUCAGGCGGGCAGUUUGACUGGGGCGGUCGCCUCCUAAAAGGUAACGGAGGCGCUCAAAGGUUUCCUCAGAAUGGUUGGAAAUCAUUCAUAGAGUGUAAAGGCAUAAGGGAGCUUGACUGCGAGACCUACAAGUCGAGCAGGGUCGAAAGACGGACUUAGUGAUCCGGUGGUUCCGCAUGGAAGGGCCAUCGCUCAACGGAUAAAAGCUACCCCGGGGAUAACAGGCUUAUCUCCCCCAAGAGUUCACAUCGACGGGGAGGUUUGGCACCUCGAUGUCGGCUCAUCGCAUCCUGGGGCUGUAGUCGGUCCCAAGGGUUGGGCUGUUCGCCCAUUAAAGCGGUACGCGAGCUGGGUUCAGAACGUCGUGAGACAGUUCGGUCCCUAUCCGUCGUGGGCGUAGGAAAUUUGAGAGGAGCUGUCCUUAGUACGAGAGGACCGGGAUGGACAUACCUCUGGUGUACCAGUUGUCGUGCCAACGGCAUAGCUGGGUAGCUAUGUGUGGACGGGAUAAGUGCUGAAAGCAUCUAAGCAUGAAGCCCCCCUCAAGAUGAGAUUUCCCAACUUCGGUUAUAAGAUCCCUCAAAGAUGAUGAGGUUAAUAGGUUCGAGGUGGAAGCAUGGUGACAUGUGGAGCUGACGAAUACUAAUCGAUCGAAGACUUAAUCAAAUU